RNAcentral lists this ribosomal RNA (198 nucleotides) under Triticum aestivum (bread wheat). RNAcentral's name for it is "partial small subunit ribosomal RNA". Lineage: Eukaryota; Viridiplantae; Streptophyta; Magnoliopsida; Poales; Poaceae. The record is from RNAcentral.
AUGCACGGCGGUGAGUGGCCAGCAAGCCCCGCACAAACCACUGAUCUCCCGGCUCGCCAAGGACCCCAACACCUCCCUCUACACCAUCACCGUCAAGGCCGACAAGUCGCCGCUCCUCCUAGACCUUGCCGGCUCGCUCGUCUGGUCGACGUGCCCGCCCUCGUCGGUGCACGGCACUGUGGCAUGCGGGUCCAGUAA